AGGUUGUCUGGCUAAGUGAAAAGCUGUAUGUGGUCACUCAAAGACACCUGCUGAUGAAGAGGAAGCUGAAAUUGGAAAGGCUACAUUUCUUACUCAAAUUUGAGGUGAAGCAACCAUGGUACACAGAACAAAUGUUAAACCAUGACACUUGCUUGUACUAAGAAAGAUGUGAUAAGUCUGCUUGGGAGUGUAGUGUGGGCUCGGAAGCAACAGUGCAAACAAUGAAUCCGUGCAAAAGGAUGAAUCUGUCUCCUUUGUUGGAAAAGAAAAGCAUCCCUAGGCCAGAACUGUGGUGAUAAGACCUUGAAACCUGUUGACCAGUACCUGAAAGCAAACUUCUCCAAACAUAUUAGUGCAAUAUUCCAUGGCUGAUUUUCUGAUUACAGACAAACUAUUCUGUAUUGACUGUUUCUGCUCAUCCAGCUGUAAGGUAAGUUUCUAUAUCUAAGAAACAUUUUAGAGAGAAGUGUAACUCAUGCAAAAGCAGUGGGGCAGCUACACCUACUAUAAGUUAUUUGAGGGCAGAAAUAGGUGUUUUCAACAUUUUUUUCUAAAAUACUGAGGUGGGCGUAGGGCAUAAAUGUUCCAUUAUAGGAAAUUUAGUGGUUCUUAUGAAACAUGCUUCUUCCUCCAAAGAUAUGAACAAAAGAUAAGAUAGAUGAUAUAAUUUUAUCUGUUCGUUAUGUAUUGGCUUCUCAUGAGCAGUAAAAAAACAAAAACAAACAAAAAAGAGUGAAAUGUUCAUUCUUUAAACUACGAAAGGGUGUUAAAUGAAUUAACAAGCUAUGACCUGUGUUUUAAUUUUUUUUAAUAAUCUCAUUCUUACUAUUAUUAGCACA
Molecule: non-coding RNA, 839 nt
Organism: Chlorocebus sabaeus (green monkey)
Lineage: Eukaryota; Metazoa; Chordata; Mammalia; Primates; Cercopithecidae
Source: RefSeq, a predicted model, not a curated record